RNAcentral lists this ribosomal RNA (394 nucleotides) under Escherichia coli. RNAcentral's name for it is "partial 16S ribosomal RNA". It matches the Rfam family "Bacterial small subunit ribosomal RNA", at positions 108 to 498 of the family's 1533-position model. Lineage: Bacteria; Pseudomonadati; Pseudomonadota; Gammaproteobacteria; Enterobacterales; Enterobacteriaceae. The record is from RNAcentral.
GAGUAAUGUCUGGGAAACUGCCUGAUGGAGGGGGAUAACUACUGGAAACGGUAGCUAAUACCGCAUAACGUCGCAAGACCAAAGAGGGGGACCUUCGGGCCUCUUGCCAUCGGAUGUGCCCAGAUGGGAUUAGCUAGUAGGUGGGGUAACGGCUCACCUAGGCGACGAUCCCUAGCUGGUCUGAGAGGAUGACCAGCCACACUGGAACUGAGACACGGUCCAGACUCCUACGGGAGGCAGCAGUGGGGAAUAUUGCACAAUGGGCGCAAGCCUGAUGCAGCCAUGCCGCGUGUAUGAAGAAGGCCUUCGGGUUGUAAAGUACUUUCAGCGGGGAGGAAGGGAGUAAAGUUAAUACCUUUGCUCAUUGACGUUACCCGCAGAAGAAGCACCGGCU